GAACACUGGCAGAGACCUCAGACCUCCCAAAAGUCUAAACUGGUUGUGGACUAAGUCACCAAAAGUCGAUACCAUUACACAAUGCAUUUGGGGAGCCAGGAAGCACACAGCUGAACUUUCUUUAUGGUGCUAGUUGGAACACAAAAUCAAACAAGUAAACUAAACCACUAAAAGAGCUAGGAAGCCUGGCUAGCACACCACCUCUGGUCCCAAUAGAUGGAAUGGAAGUGGAAUUC
Long non-coding RNA from Eubalaena glacialis (North Atlantic right whale), 236 nucleotides. RefSeq lists it as uncharacterized. Lineage: Eukaryota; Metazoa; Chordata; Mammalia; Artiodactyla; Balaenidae. The record is from RefSeq and is a predicted model, not a curated record. The transcript has 3 exons.